UCCAUACUUGCCCAUCUCUUCCUCUGUGCACCUGCAAUCAUGGGCAUCGCCGUCAUUUCACGCCAUUGUUGAAUCUUCCAUUUUAUAUUUUUUAACACCAAAUUCACAGAGAAUAUUUGAUAGAUACUACGGCUGAUUACGGACAGAGUGCGGGAACAAUUCGAGUAUUUUUUAUUUCUUACAGUGGCCGUGCCAAGCAACUAAUAUUGGAAAUUAUUAUUUUUUAUUUAUCAAUUUUGGGGUGCGAAAUUUUUCAAUACCAGGUGGGUAUCACAUGGUGCCCCCUCGGUACAUUCAGACCGCCCAUUUCAGUUUUGGACGGCUCGGAUGUAGAGAGAGAAAGAAGAGAGAGAAUGGUGGGGUAAGAGGAGAGAGAGGGUUACAAUCUGGGCUGUGCAACAAACUUUUGAACGGCGCGGAUGAACUGCUCAGGCACCACGUAGGCACGGACACGUAGUACCCAUCUGGUACCGAAAAAUUUAUCCAGUGUCACACCCCUCUACUGAUAUAGGAAGAAUCAGAAACCCGUGAAUUACUGUAGAAGAAAGUAUAAUACCAGAACUAAUUUCCUAGGUUGACUCGUACUACUAGUUUAAAAUUUUCUUAGACUGAUUCUAGGUCGGUAAGGAGUACCAAAUCAGCCACCUGAAUGGACGAAAUUGUCACGUCAAACAAAGGGAUUGAAGCCAAAGGGAUCUGGUAGACGGAUUCAGAGUUCUAGAUUUCUCCUGAAAUAUAGGGGUUUUUCUGGUCCAUAAUGAGAGUAGCGUGCAAAUUCAAAUGAAGUGAAAAGAUGGUUUAAAAGUACAAUGAUGUAACCGUGAUUGAUAGU
Long non-coding RNA from Rhododendron vialii, 832 nucleotides. RefSeq lists it as uncharacterized. Lineage: Eukaryota; Viridiplantae; Streptophyta; Magnoliopsida; Ericales; Ericaceae. The transcript has 2 exons. The record is from RefSeq and is a predicted model, not a curated record.